UUUGAUUUCUUAACUAGGACGAACGCUGGCGGCGUGCCUAAUACAUGCAAGUCGAGCGGACAGAUGGGAGCUUGCUCCCUGAUGUUAGCGGCGGACGGGUGAGUAACACGUGGGUAACCUGCCUGUAAGACUGGGAUAACUCCGGGAAACCGGGGCUAAUACCGGAUGCUUGUUUGAACCGCAUGGUUCAAACAUAAAAGGUGGCUUCGGCUACCACUUACAGAUGGACCCGCGGCGCAUUAGCUAGUUGGUGAGGUAAUGGCUCACCAAGGCAACGAUGCGUAGCCGACCUGAGAGGGUGAUCGGCCACACUGGGACUGAGACACGGCCCAGACUCCUACGGGAGGCAGCAGUAGGGAAUCUUCCGCAAUGGACGAAAGUCUGACGGAGCAACGCCGCGUGAGUGAUGAAGGUUUUCGGAUCGUAAAGCUCUGUUGUUAGGGAAGAACAAGUACCGUUCGAAUAGGGCGGUACCUUGACGGUACCUAACCAGAAAGCCACGGCUAACUACGUGCCAGCAGCCGCGGUAAUACGUAGGUGGCAAGCGUUGUCCGGAAUUAUUGGGCGUAAAGGGCUCGCAGGCGGUUCCUUAAGUCUGAUGUGAAAGCCCCCGGCUCAACCGGGGAGGGUCAUUGGAAACUGGGGAACUUGAGUGCAGAAGAGGAGAGUGGAAUUCCACGUGUAGCGGUGAAAUGCGUAGAGAUGUGGAGGAACACCAGUGGCGAAGGCGACUCUCUGGUCUGUAACUGACGCUGAGGAGCGAAAGCGUGGGGAGCGAACAGGAUUAGAUACCCUGGUAGUCCACGCCGUAAACGAUGAGUGCUAAGUGUUAGGGGGUUUCCGCCCCUUAGUGCUGCAGCUAACGCAUUAAGCACUCCGCCU
Molecule: ribosomal RNA, 882 nt
Filed under: Bacillus halotolerans
Lineage: Bacteria; Bacillati; Bacillota; Bacilli; Caryophanales; Bacillaceae
Description: bacterial SSU rRNA
Rfam family: Bacterial small subunit ribosomal RNA
Source: RNAcentral